RNAcentral lists this ribosomal RNA (962 nucleotides) under Escherichia coli. RNAcentral describes it as "partial 23S ribosomal RNA". It matches the Rfam family "Bacterial large subunit ribosomal RNA", at positions 783 to 1744 of the family's 2925-position model. The record is from RNAcentral. Lineage: Bacteria; Pseudomonadati; Pseudomonadota; Gammaproteobacteria; Enterobacterales; Enterobacteriaceae.
CUAAUGUUGAAAAAUUAGCGGAUGACUUGUGGCUGGGGGUGAAAGGCCAAUCAAACCGGGAGAUAGCUGGUUCUCCCCGAAAGCUAUUUAGGUAGCGCCUCGUGAAUUCAUCUCCGGGGGUAGAGCACUGUUUCGGCAAGGGGGUCAUCCCGACUUACCAACCCGAUGCAAACUGCGAAUACCGGAGAAUGUUAUCACGGGAGACACACGGCGGGUGCUAACGUCCGUCGUGAAGAGGGAAACAACCCAGACCGCCAGCUAAGGUCCCAAAGUCAUGGUUAAGUGGGAAACGAUGUGGGAAGGCCCAGACAGCCAGGAUGUUGGCUUAGAAGCAGCCAUCAUUUAAAGAAAGCGUAAUAGCUCACUGGUCGAGUCGGCCUGCGCGGAAGAUGUAACGGGGCUAAACCAUGCACCGAAGCUGCGGCAGCGACGCUGAUGCGUUGUUGGGUAGGGGAGCGUUCUGUAAGCCUGCGAAGGUGUGCUGUGAGGCAUGCUGGAGGUAUCAGAAGUGCGAAUGCUGACAUAAGUAACGAUAAAGCGGGUGAAAAGCCCGCUCGCCGGAAGACCAAGGGUUCCUGUCCAACGUUAAUCGGGGCAGGGUGAGUCGACCCCUAAGGCGAGGCCGAAAGGCGUAGUCGAUGGGAAACAGGUUAAUAUUCCUGUACUUGGUGUUACUGCGAAGGGGGGACGGAGAAGGCUAUGUUGGCCGGGCGACGGUUGUCCCGGUUUAAGCGUGUAGGCUGGUUUUCCAGGCAAAUCCGGAAAAUCAAGGCUGAGGCGUGAUGACGAGGCACUACGGUGCUGAAGCAACAAAUGCCCUGCUUCCAGGAAAAGCCUCUAAGCAUCAGGUAACAUCAAAUCGUACCCCAAACCGACACAGGUGGUCAGGUAGAGAAUACCAAGGCGCUUGAGAGAACUCGGGUGAAGGAACUAGGCAAAAUGGUGCCGUAACUUCGGGAGAA